This 250-nucleotide ribosomal RNA is filed under the name uncultured bacterium. Its description in RNAcentral is "partial 16S ribosomal RNA". It matches the Rfam family "Bacterial small subunit ribosomal RNA", at positions 515 to 764 of the family's 1533-position model. The record is from RNAcentral.
GAGCGGUAAUACGAGAGCUCCAAGCAUUAUCCGGAAUUAUUGGGCGUAAAGGGUGCGUAGGUGGUUGUGUUAGUCGUACGUCAAAGCCCCGAGCUUAACUUGGGAAAGGCGUCCGAAACGGCACGACUAGAAUAAGUGAGAGGUGUGCGGAACUCAAGGUGUAGGGGUGAAAUCCGUUGAUAUCUUGGGGAACACCAAAAGCGAAGGCAGCACACUGGCACUUUAUUGACACUCAAGCACGAAAGCGUGG